UACGUGGGGGGCCAGCGUUGCUCGGAAUUACUGGGCGUAAAGGGUCCGUAGGCGGUGCGGCAAGUCGAUAGUGAAAUCUCUGGGCUCAACCCAGAGGCUGCUUCCAAAACUGCCAUGCUUGAGUGUGGUAGAGGCGCGUGGAAUUGCAGGUGUAGCGGUGAAAUGCGUAGAUAUCUGCAGGAACACCCGUGGCGAAGGCGGCUCUCUGGCCGGAUUCUGACACUGAGGCGCGAAAGCGUGGGGAGCAAACAGG
RNAcentral lists this ribosomal RNA (253 nucleotides) under uncultured bacterium. Its description in RNAcentral is "partial 16S ribosomal RNA". It matches the Rfam family "Bacterial small subunit ribosomal RNA", at positions 524 to 776 of the family's 1533-position model. The record is from RNAcentral.